GGUGGCUUCUCCCCCAGAGAAGCUUCUGGUCGGCCGUGCAUGUUGCAUGGGGACACGGCCAGUCAGGUGCCCAGAGCCAUAUCCAAGGACAUGUCCAGGUCCAUGGUCAUGUCCAGGGUCAUGUCCAGGGUCAUGUCCAGGGCUGUAUCCAGCCCCAUGUCCAGGGUUGUGUCUGGGGUCCUGUCCAGGGAUGUGUCCAGGCUCAUGUCCAGGGCUGUAUCCAGGCCAGUGUCCAGGGCUUGUGUCCUGGCCUGUUUCCAGGUCUGUGUCCAGGCUCAUGUCCAGACCAGUGUCCAGGGUCAUGUCCAGACCCAUGUCCAGGGCCAUGUCCAAGGUCACGCACGUCCAGAGC
Molecule: long non-coding RNA, 352 nt
Organism: Erinaceus europaeus (western European hedgehog)
Lineage: Eukaryota; Metazoa; Chordata; Mammalia; Eulipotyphla; Erinaceidae
Exons: 3
Source: RefSeq, a predicted model, not a curated record